RNAcentral lists this ribosomal RNA (381 nucleotides) under uncultured eukaryote. RNAcentral describes it as "partial 18S ribosomal RNA". It matches the Rfam family "Eukaryotic small subunit ribosomal RNA", at positions 592 to 976 of the family's 1831-position model. The record is from RNAcentral.
CAAUAGCGUAUAUUAAAGUUGUUGCGGUUAAAAAGCUCGUAGUUGGAUUUCUGCUGAGAACGACCGGUCCGCCCUCUGGGUGUGUAUCUGGCUCUUUCUUGGCAUCUUCUUGGAGAGCGCAUCUGCACUUAACUGUGUGGAUCGUACUUCAAGUCAGUUACUUUGAGGAAUUGUGAGUGUUUCAAGCAGGCUUACGCCGUUGAAUCCGUUAGCAUGGAAUAAUAGGAUAGGACCUCGGUUCUAUUUUGUUGGUUUUGAGAGCUGGGGCAGCGAUUGAUAGGGACGGAUGGGGGCGUCCGAACUUUACUGUCAGAGGUGAAAUUCUUAGAUCGGUCAAAGGCGAACUACUGCGAACGCAUUCGCCAAGAAUGUUUUCUUUAA